RNAcentral lists this ribosomal RNA (506 nucleotides) under uncultured bacterium. RNAcentral describes it as "bacterial SSU rRNA". It matches the Rfam family "Bacterial small subunit ribosomal RNA", at positions 28 to 518 of the family's 1533-position model. The record is from RNAcentral.
GAUGAACGCUAGCUACAGGCUUAACACAUGCAAGUCGAGGGGAAACGACAUCGAAAGCUUGCUUUUGGUGGGCGUCGACCGGCGCACGGGUGAGUAACGCGUAUCCAACCUGCCCACCACUUGGGGAUAACCUUGCGAAAGUAAGACUAAUACCCAAUGAUAUCCCACGAAGGCAUCCGAAUGGGAUUAAAGAUUUAUCGGUGAUGGAUGGGGAUGCGUCUGAUUAGCUUGUUGGCGGGGUAACGGCCCACCAAGGCAACGAUCAGUAGGGGUUCUGAGAGGAAGGUCCCCCCACAUUGGAACUGAGACACGGUCCAAACUCCUACGGGAGGCAGCAGUGAGGAAUAUUGGUCAAUGGGCGAGAGCCUGAACCAGCCAAGUAGCGUGCAGGAUGACGGCCCCUAAUGGGUUGUAAACUGCUUUUAUAAGGGAAUAAAGUGGGUCACGUGUGACUUUUUGCAUGUACCUUAUGAAUAAGGACCGGCUAAUUCCGUGCCAGCAGCCGC